GCAGAUUUAGUUUAAUGGUAGAACCUUAGCCUUCCAAGCUAAUGAUGGGAGUUCGAUUCUCCUAAUCUGCU
Mycoplasma sp. CAG:472 is the source of this 71-nucleotide transfer RNA. It matches the Rfam family "tRNA". Rfam says of the family: Transfer RNA (tRNA) molecules are approximately 80 nucleotides in length. Their secondary structure includes four short double-helical elements and three loops (D, anti-codon, and T loops). The record is from Rfam. NCBI's taxonomy places the organism in Bacteria, Bacillati, Mycoplasmatota, Mollicutes, Mycoplasmatales, Mycoplasmataceae.